AGCCACGGAAGUUCGCGCCAUUUGCAGAGGGGAGGAGCCCAGCCUCUUGCGUUCCUGUGUGAUGGGGCCGGAGCCAGUAAACAGGCUUCCUUCUCGCUCUGCUGUAUAAGAAGAAGAAGUAGGAGGAACAAAAUAAGGAGGAGAAGAAGUAAAAUAAUUUGAGAAGGAAUAUGAAGGUGAAACAUGAAGAUGAUGGUGGACAGGUGAGCUACGCAGUUCGUGGAAGAACCAGGGGUCACAGGGCCUAGAUGCUACCCUAGAUGAGAAAGAGUCCAAUGGUUAUCAACAAGUUCUGAAAGGCAAGGCCUGAG
Gorilla gorilla gorilla (western lowland gorilla) is the source of this 311-nucleotide long non-coding RNA. RefSeq lists it as uncharacterized. The transcript is spliced from 4 exons. The record is from RefSeq and is a predicted model, not a curated record. Lineage: Eukaryota; Metazoa; Chordata; Mammalia; Primates; Hominidae.